AACGAACGCUGGCGGCAUGCCUAACACAUGCAAGUCGAACGAGACCUUCGGGUCUAGUGGCGCACGGGUGCGUAACGCGUGGGAACCUGCCCUUAGGUUCGGAAUAACUCCCCGAAAGGGGUGCUAAUACCGGAUAAUGUCUUCGGACCAAAGAUUUAUCGCCUUUGGAUGGGCCCGCGUUGGAUUAGCUAGUUGGUAGGGUAAAAGCCUACCAAGGCGACGAUCCAUAGCUGGUCUGAGAGGAUGAUCAGCCACACUGGGACUGAGACACGGCCCAGACUCCUACGGGAGGCAGCAGGGGGGAAUAUUGGACAAGGGGCGAAAGCCUGACCCAGCAAUGCCGGGUGGGUGAUGAAGGCCUUAGGGUUGUAAAGCUCUUUUCCCCGGGAUGAUAAUGACAGUCCCGGGAGAAGAAGCCCCGCCUAACUCCGG
This 432-nucleotide ribosomal RNA is filed under the name uncultured bacterium. RNAcentral describes it as "partial 16S ribosomal RNA". It matches the Rfam family "Bacterial small subunit ribosomal RNA", at positions 29 to 506 of the family's 1533-position model. The record is from RNAcentral.